UCAAAGGAAUUGACGGGGGCCCGCACAAGCGGUGGAGCAUGUGGUUUAAUUUGAAGCAACGCGAAGAACCUUACCAGGUCUUGACAUCCUCUGACAAUCCUAGAGAUAGGACGUCCCCUUCGGGGGCAGAGUGACAGGUGGUGCAUGGUUGUCGUCAGCUCGUGUCGUGAGAUGUUGGGUUAAGUCCCGCAACGAGCGCAACCCUUGAUCUUAGUUGCCAGCAUUCAGUUGGGCACUCUAAGGUGACUGCCGGUGACAAACCGGAGGAAGGUGGGGAUGACGUCAAAUCAUCAUGCCCCUUAUGACCUGGGCUACACACGUGCUACAAUGGACAGAACAAAGGGCAGCGAAACCGCGAGGUUAAGCCAAUCCCACAAAUCUGUUCUCAGUUCGGAUCGCAGUCUGCAACUCGACUGCGUGAAGCUGGAAUCGCUAGUAAUCGCGGAUCAGCAUGCCGCGGUGAAUACGUUCCCGGGCCUUGUACACACCGCCCGUCACACCACGAGAGUUUGUAACACCCGAAGUCGGUGAGGUAACCUUUUAGGAGCCAGCCGCCGAAGGUGGGACAGAUGAUUGGGGUGAAGUCGUAACAAGGUAGC
This 599-nucleotide ribosomal RNA is filed under the name Bacillus subtilis. Its description in RNAcentral is "bacterial SSU rRNA". It matches the Rfam family "Bacterial small subunit ribosomal RNA", at positions 901 to 1500 of the family's 1533-position model. The record is from RNAcentral. Lineage: Bacteria; Bacillati; Bacillota; Bacilli; Caryophanales; Bacillaceae.